CCUGAAACCUCUCCAAUUAUAUCAAGAAAUGGUUAAAGUGACCUCUUCAAACGUUGCGAAAUCCUUACCAUCUGAGUUCGAGGUUCAAGUCUAAUAAAGAUCAAGACUGAUAAGGAGUAUUCUCAUCAUACGUCAAGCAAUCCUUCCCCAUGUCCCUUUCAGGUUUGACGUUGAAGACUAACGCUAUCCUCUUUACUCUUCAGUACAUACCAGAGCUACUGCUAUCUUAAGUUUUUUUCUAAGUAAAAUAAAAGAUAGCAGCUAAAUUGGUAUCAGGGUAUCUCUAUGGACAAGAUAAAUUGCUACAACGCUACUAAUUCAUCUCACUGCCACUCACUGAAAUAAAGACUACAGCUGUACCUGGGUAUACCUAGCGAGAGUCAAUCCUAGAGACAACUAAAUGAAAAUAUAAGAUGUCAGGAAAUGGAAGAAGACGUAUUCCUACUGAAGUGGACUCAAAACUCAAGCUAGGACUCAAAACUCAAGCUAGGACUCUUGAAAACUCUCCAAUUACAUGAAUAGAACGAUCUGUGUACUGUUCUUUCGCGUUAUUUUCUUGGGGACCACUAUAGUACAGUUCUUGUGAAACCAAGAGACAACAACUGAAAAGUUAGAAAACGACAUGAAAAGAACGAUCUGUGUACUGUUCUUUUGCGUUAUUUUCUUGGGGACCACUAUAGUACAGUUCUUGUGAAACCAAGAGACAACAACUGAAAAGUUAGAAAACGGAAGGGAAGGUUGCUAAAAGGACUUACUCAAGCUUAGACUCUGCACAUGACGUACUAAAAACUUCCCAAUUAUAUAAAGAACGACUGAAUCUGAUCUUUGCAGUUAUCUAGUCUCACUAUCUUGUAAACUCCGCCUUAAAAACAACUGAGGUAACAGAUUGGUUUUGGUAGAAGGAAAAUACAUCUCUUUCAAGUAAGCGGCCAGAGACAAGAAAAAGCAAGAGCAAAGAGGUUAAGAUCAAUUGUGCAAAAGCUACAAAAUGACAACUUCUGUUGGAUUAUACAAAAAUAUUAAUUGGAGAAAUUGGUAGAAAUUGAUCCUCAUUUUUGCUAAUACCAGUUUAAAUGUCUUUUGUAAAUUUUGUCCGAAUUUAAUUU
This is a long non-coding RNA of Bolinopsis microptera, 1106 nucleotides long. RefSeq lists it as uncharacterized. The transcript has 13 exons. The record is from RefSeq and is a predicted model, not a curated record. Lineage: Eukaryota; Metazoa; Ctenophora; Tentaculata; Lobata; Bolinopsidae.